CAAUAGCGUAUAUUAAAGUUGUUGCAGUUAAAAAGCUCGUAGUUGGAUUUCUGGUGGAAGCGACCGGUCGGGCGUUGAUUCGUCUGCACUGGAGUCGGUUUUGGCCAUCCUCUAGGAAAGUGCGUCUGGUAUUAAGUUAUCGGGCGUAUGAUCCUGGUCUUUUACUGUGAAAAAAUUAGAGUGUUUAAAGCAGGCCUUCGCCUUGAAUACAUUAGCAUGGAAUAAUAAGAUAGGACUUUGGUCUAUUUUGUUGGUUUGCAGACCGAAGUAAUGAUUAAUAGGGAUAGUUGGGGGUAUUUAUAUUCCGAUGUCAGAGGUGAAAUUCUUAGAUUUUCGGAAGAUAAACUUAUGCGAAAGCAUUUACCAAGGAUGUUUUCAUUAA
RNAcentral lists this ribosomal RNA (382 nucleotides) under uncultured eukaryote. RNAcentral's name for it is "partial 18S ribosomal RNA". It matches the Rfam family "Eukaryotic small subunit ribosomal RNA", at positions 592 to 976 of the family's 1831-position model. The record is from RNAcentral.